RNAcentral lists this unclassified non-coding RNA (316 nucleotides) under Hevea brasiliensis (rubber tree). Lineage: Eukaryota; Viridiplantae; Streptophyta; Magnoliopsida; Malpighiales; Euphorbiaceae. The record is from RNAcentral.
AAGAAACUAAGAAGUUCCCAAACAAAUUAAGUUAUUAAAGUUGCAUUACAAUUUUAUCAUCUCAAAGGCCCUAAAUCUGUCGUCUUUGCUCAUAAAUUAUGAUCCUUCAAAGAGUAUCCAAUAAGACAUUCUUUCCAAUCAACCGUUGAAGUACAAUAACAAUUGGUACUUAUUAAUGUUGAGAAUUAACCUUUUUUAUUAUCUUUCUUUGAGUUCCUGUUCGAAUUGAACCAACUUUUCACGAACAGGCUGCAAAAAUCGCUUCAAAUCUUGGCAAAUCUGCAACUUAUCCUCAGCCAGAAGAUCUUUCUCUUCG